GAUGAACGCUGGCGGCGUGCCUAAUACAUGCAAGUCGAGCGAACGGACGAGAAGCUUGCUUUUCUGAUGUUAGCGGCGGACGGGUGGGUAACACGUGGAUAACCUACCUAUAAGACUGGGAUAACUUCGGGAAACCGGAGCUAAUACCGGAUAAUAUUUUGAACCGCAUGGUUCAAAAGUGAAAGACGGUCUUGCUGUCACUUAUAGAUGGAUCCGCGCUGCAUUAGCUAGUUGGUAAGGUAACGGCUUACCAAGGCAACGAUGCAUAGCCGACCUGAGAGGGUGAUCGGCCACACUGGAACUGAGACACGGUCCAGACUCCUACGGGAGGCAGCAGUAGGGAAUCUUCCGCAAUGGGCGAAAGCCUGACGGAGCAACGCCGCGUGAGUGAUGAAGGUCUUCGGGUCGUAAAACUCUGUUAUUAGGGAAGAACAUAUGUGUAAGUAACUGUGCACAUCUUGACGGUACCUAAUCAGAAAGCCACGGCUAACUACGUG
This 497-nucleotide ribosomal RNA is filed under the name uncultured bacterium. RNAcentral's name for it is "partial 16S ribosomal RNA". It matches the Rfam family "Bacterial small subunit ribosomal RNA", at positions 28 to 507 of the family's 1533-position model. The record is from RNAcentral.